RNAcentral lists this ribosomal RNA (468 nucleotides) under uncultured bacterium. RNAcentral's name for it is "partial 16S ribosomal RNA". It matches the Rfam family "Bacterial small subunit ribosomal RNA", at positions 28 to 507 of the family's 1533-position model. The record is from RNAcentral.
GACGAACGCUGGCGGCGUGCUUAGCACAUGCAAGUCGAACGGAAAGGCCCUGCUUUUGUGGGGUGCUCGAGUGGCGAACGGGUGAGUAACACGUGAGUAACCUGCCCUUGACUUUGGGAUAACUUCAGGAAACUGGGGCUAAUACCGGAUAGGAGCUCCUGCUGCAUGGUGGGGGCUGGAAAGUUUCGGCGGUUGGGGAUGGACUCGCGGCUUAUCAGCUUGUUGGUGGGGUAGUGGCUUACCAAGGCUUUGACGGGUAGCCGGCCUGAGAGGGUGACCGGCCACAUUGGGACUGAGAUACGGCCCAGACUCCUACGGGAGGCAGCAGUGGGGAAUAUUGCACAAUGGGCGGAAGCCUGAUGCAGCAACGCCGCGUGCGGGAUGACGGCCUUCGGGUUGUAAACCGCUUUCGCCUGUGACGAAGCGUGAGUGACGGUAAUGGGUAAAGAAGCACCGGCUAACUACGUG